RNAcentral lists this ribosomal RNA (600 nucleotides) under Naganishia vaughanmartiniae. RNAcentral describes it as "eukaryotic LSU rRNA". The stretch from base 142 to 295 matches the Rfam family "5.8S ribosomal RNA". The record is from RNAcentral. RNAcentral also lists the same sequence under 1 other name. Lineage: Eukaryota; Fungi; Basidiomycota; Tremellomycetes; Filobasidiales; Filobasidiaceae.
UGCCUGUCGAGCUUGCUCACGGGCUUUCUAUCAUAUCCAUAACACCUGUGCACUUGUUGGAUGUCUAGAGAUGAAAGUCGACAGUCAUCCACUUACACUAAACAAUAAUGUAACAAAUGUAGUCUUAUUAUAACAAAAUAAAACUUUCAACAACGGAUCUCUUGGCUCUCGCAUCGAUGAAGAACGCAGCGAAAUGCGAUAAGUAAUGUGAAUUGCAGAAUUCAGUGAAUCAUCGAAUCUUUGAACGCACCUUGCGCUCCUUGGUAUUCCGAGGAGCAUGCCUGUUUGAGUGUCAUGAAAACCCUCAACCUUAGAUUGGUUAUUUGACCUUUCUUUGGCUUGGAUUUGGACGUUUGCCGAUGUCAAGUCGGCUCGUCUUAAAAGUAAUAGCUGGAUCUGUCUCGCGACAUGGUUUGACUUGGCGUAAUAAGUAUUUCGCUAAGGACAUCUUCGGAUGGCCCUGUUGCAGGACUAAAGACCGCUUUCUAAUCCAUUGAUCUUCGGAUUAAUAUUCAUAACAUCUGGCCUCAAAUCAGGUAGGACUACCCGCUGAACUUAAGCAUAUCAAUAAGCGGAGGAAAAGAAACUAACAAGGAUUCC